AUGGCGCCCGAGGUCUCCUCGCCCCUCCCUCGGCAGGACGUGCUGGAGCUUGCCGCUGCCUGUGACGUGCCCGCCUUGGCUCUCCUUGAUGACACCGCAUCUUGGAAUGUUCGUGGUCUCGGUAGAAACAAAAAAUGUACUGACGUCAAAGCUGCUCUCUUCGGCCUCGACCCCUCUUUUAUUUGCUUGCAAGAAACAAAGCUUGAUGAUAUCUCUACUUUCAAAGCCAGCUCCUUCUUACCCACUAGGUUGAAAUCAUUCCAUUUCUUGCCUUCAAAUGGUUCUGCUGGAGGAAUACUAACAGCUUGGAACGAUCAAGACUGCUCCCGCACUUCUGUCACUGCUCUUAAGUUCUCCUUAACCUUACACUUCUCGGCCAGAGCUAGCAACGAUGAUUUCUCGAUCUCUAACAUUUAUGGUCCUUGCGUCAGCUUUGAGAAGCAAGCGUUUGUUGACGAACUUCUUCUCUUAGGAUCCUUUGUAACCGGCCCCUGGGCUCUUUUAGGCGAUUUCAACUUUACUCUAAAGCCUAACGAGCGCUCGAAUGACAACUUUAACCAUUCCGAAGCCUUGCUCUUCUCGUCUACCUUAAACCGUCUUAAUCUUCAGGAGCUUCCCCAUCUCGAUAGGCUAUUUACUUGGUCUAACCAACAAGACUCCCCGACUUUGGUGCGCUUGGAUAGGGCUUUUGUCAACACAGCUUGGAGUUUCCUCCUCCCGGACUCCACACUCACGUCCGCUUGCCGGUCAACUUCUGAUCAUGUGCCGCUUGUUCUCAUUGCUGCGUGCAAAGUUCCCAUGCCUUCGGUCUUCCGGUUCAACAACGGCCUUCUGCACUUACAACCUUUCAUGAACAUCAUUUUGCAAAAUUGGAAUAGUGUUGUCCCAUCUACCCACUUGGGCCACUUAUGUCUCAAACUUAAGAGAGUGCGCGCAGCUGCUAAGGCCUGGCCAAGCAAGCUAGAUCUCCUCUUGUGA
Molecule: ribosomal RNA, 978 nt
Filed under: Triticum aestivum (bread wheat)
Lineage: Eukaryota; Viridiplantae; Streptophyta; Magnoliopsida; Poales; Poaceae
Description: partial small subunit ribosomal RNA
Source: RNAcentral